RNAcentral lists this microRNA precursor (96 nucleotides) under Hofstenia miamia. RNAcentral's name for it is "microRNA mir-598". Lineage: Eukaryota; Metazoa; Xenacoelomorpha; Acoela; Hofsteniidae. The record is from RNAcentral.
UUGUUAUGCUAUUGAUCUUAGUUUGAUGAUACUGACAAUGUCAGUCAAUUAUAAUUGACUGACAUUGUCAGUAUCAUCAAACUAAGAUCAUUAAAA